UGCUGACCAGCGCUGCUGCAGACGCGCAUUUAUGGGAAAAUACCCGUGAAGAGAACGUUAAAAUGAUGAUGCGGCAAAUUUUUCGCUUCCUUUUGACACGACAAGCUUUUCACGACUUCAAAGACAGACGCAGGCAUCCACAAAGUUAACAAUUGUAGCAAGAUGGAGAAUAUGUUACUUACACUAUCAGACUCCCAGGGAGCAAUCACAUUAACCGUAAGCAAAGAAAUUGCUGAGAGAAUAAAGAAUGACAAAACAUAUGCAGCAUAUGCAACAAGUGAGAUCUGCAACACAGAAUCAAGCAGAUACUACCCACUGUCCAGCAUCUUUGUCCCAGUGUGGCCCUUCUGUUACUCAAGUCAAGUCAAGUCACAUUUAUUUAUAUACCGCUUUUCACAAUACAGAUUGUAUCAAAGCAGCU
Pimephales promelas (fathead minnow) is the source of this 421-nucleotide non-coding RNA. The record is from RefSeq and is a predicted model, not a curated record. NCBI's taxonomy places the organism in Eukaryota, Metazoa, Chordata, Actinopteri, Cypriniformes, Leuciscidae.